Columba livia (rock pigeon) is the source of this 415-nucleotide long non-coding RNA. RefSeq lists it as uncharacterized. The transcript has 3 exons. The record is from RefSeq and is a predicted model, not a curated record. NCBI's taxonomy places the organism in Eukaryota, Metazoa, Chordata, Aves, Columbiformes, Columbidae.
GAAGGCUUUGUUGCAAAUGGUGCACUUGUACUGCUUCUCUCCGCUGUGGGUCAGCUUGUGGUUCUUGUAGUUGCCUGCGACAGAGGAAAAAGAUGGAAAAGGGGGUUACCCGAGGGUGCCCGGGCCGCACGGCGCACAGCCAGGCGUUAUGUCCCCAAAACACUGCCUGCCUGUGAGGAGUGGAGAGAGACAUCCUGGGUGAAGUCUGGUGCGAGACAGGUGUGGCCCAGGAGGCAGUGGAGGAAUCGGUGGAAUCCACAUCAUGUCCGAAGUCAACCCGCACAUGCUUCUCCUCUCCAGCUGCCAGCCUGGGACAUCCCCCCGAGAUCAGCUGCUUGUGGAGUUCUCUCUGCCGAAAACAGUCCUAACCAGUGCGGCCUUUGUUCCCCCCAGCUGUCGUAUCCUCCAGGAUCUG